CCUACGGGAGGCAGCAGUAGGGAAUAUUGCUCAAUGGGGGAAACCCUGAAGCAGCAACGCCGCGUGGAGGAUGAAGGUUUUCGGAUUGUAAACUCCUUUUGUUAGAGAAGAUAAUGACGGUAUCUAACGAAUAAGCACCGGCUAACUCCGUGCCAGCAGCCGCGGUAAU
RNAcentral lists this ribosomal RNA (169 nucleotides) under uncultured bacterium. RNAcentral's name for it is "partial 16S ribosomal RNA". It matches the Rfam family "Bacterial small subunit ribosomal RNA", at positions 338 to 524 of the family's 1533-position model. The record is from RNAcentral.